Molecule: transfer RNA, 64 nt
Filed under: Trypodendron domesticum
Lineage: Eukaryota; Metazoa; Arthropoda; Insecta; Coleoptera; Curculionidae
Description: tRNA-Asn
Source: RNAcentral
UUGUUUAAAACCAAAAAGAGGUAAACCACUGUUAAUGGUUAAAUUAGAUUUUAUCUUAAACAAA